CUGACCAAGAAAAGCCGCUAAGCAUCAGUUUGUAAUAACCCGUACCGCAAACCGACACAGGUGACCGGGAAGAAUAUUCUAAAGGCGCUUGAGUGAAUCACGGUUUAAGGAACUCGGCAAAUUUGAUCCUGUAACUUAGGGAGAAGGAUGCCCCGUGAGGGGCCGCAGAGAAUAGGUCCAGGCGACUGUUUUAACAAAAACACAGGGCUCUGCUAAGUCGUGAGACGAAGAAUAGGGUCUGACACCUGCCCGGUGCUGGAAGGUUAAGGGGGGAUGUUAGGGCAACCGAAGCAUUGAACCGAAGCCCCAGUAAACGGCGGCCGUAACUAUAACGGUCCUAAGGUAGCGAAAUUCCUUGUCGGGUAAGUUCCGACCUGCACGAAUGGUGUAACGAUCUGGACACUGUCUCAACCGUGAGCUCAGUGAAAUUGUAGUACCGGUGAAGAUGCCGGUUACCCGCUACGGGACGAAAAGACCCC
This 479-nucleotide ribosomal RNA is filed under the name uncultured bacterium. RNAcentral describes it as "bacterial LSU rRNA". It matches the Rfam family "Bacterial large subunit ribosomal RNA", at positions 1604 to 2092 of the family's 2925-position model. The record is from RNAcentral.